This is a long non-coding RNA of Thalassophryne amazonica, 97 nucleotides long. RefSeq lists it as uncharacterized. NCBI's taxonomy places the organism in Eukaryota, Metazoa, Chordata, Actinopteri, Batrachoidiformes, Batrachoididae. The record is from RefSeq and is a predicted model, not a curated record. The transcript has 3 exons.
AAGUCUGAACACUAUCUGGCUAGAAAGCAAUCCAGAUUGAAUCUAUCUUAAGAUGGAUUGCAAACCCCAGUGUGAACGGGUCUCCGUGUUGGAGACA